UACGUAGGGUGCGAGCGUUAAUCGGAAUUACUGGGCGUAAAGCGUGCGCUGGCGGCUUUGCAAGACAGAUGUGAAAUCCCCGGGCUCAACCUGGGAACUGCAUUUGUGACUGCAAGGCUAGAGUACGGCAGAGGGGGAUGGAAUUCCGCGUGUAGCAGUGAAAUGCGUAGAUAUGCGGAGGAACACCAAUGGCGAAGGCAAUCCCCUGGGCCUGUACUGACGCUCAUGCACGAAAGCGUGGGGAGCAAACAGG
This 253-nucleotide ribosomal RNA is filed under the name uncultured bacterium. RNAcentral's name for it is "partial 16S ribosomal RNA". It matches the Rfam family "Bacterial small subunit ribosomal RNA", at positions 524 to 776 of the family's 1533-position model. The record is from RNAcentral.